UGAGGAAUAUUGCGCAAUGGGGGCAACCCUGACGCAGCGACGCCGCGUGAGUGAGGAAGGCCUUCGGGUCGUAAAGCUCUGUCAAAGGGAAAGAAGUGUGCAAUGGCUAAUACCUGUUGCAUUUGACGGUACCUUUAGAGGAAGCACCGGCUAACUCCGUGCCAGCAGCCGCGGUAAUACGGAGGGUGCAAGCGUUAUUCGGAAUUACUGGGCGUAAAGCGCACGUAGGCGGUCCUGCAAGUCAGGCGUGAAAUCCCUUGGCUCAACCCAGGAAGUGCAUUUGAAACUGUUUGGCUUGAGUAAGGGAGAGGAAAGUGGAAUUCCUGGUGUAGAGGUGAAAUUCGUAGAUAUCAGGAGGAACACCGGUGGCGAAGGCGACUUUCUGGCCCUAUACUGACGCUGAGACGCGAAAGCGUGGGUAGCAAACA
This 428-nucleotide ribosomal RNA is filed under the name uncultured prokaryote. RNAcentral describes it as "bacterial SSU rRNA". It matches the Rfam family "Bacterial small subunit ribosomal RNA", at positions 355 to 774 of the family's 1533-position model. The record is from RNAcentral.